UGCAAGUCGAACGAGAAAUCGGGUGCUCAGGCAACUGAGUGCCGGAGAGUAAAGUGGCGCACGGGUGAGUAACACGUGGGUAACCUACCCCGGAAUCUGGGAUAACCUCGCGAAAGCGUUGCUAAUACCGGAUAAUGUCUUAUAGGUUGUGACCUUUGAGAUGAAAGGCAACCUCUUCAUGAAAGUUGUCGUUCAGGGAUGGGCCCGCGCACCAUUAGCUUGUUGGUGAGGUAACGGCUCACCAAGGCUACGAUGGUUAGCUGGUCUGAGAGGAUGAUCAGCCACACUGGAACUGAAACACGGUCCAGACUCCUACGGGAGGCAGCAGUGAGGAAUUUUGCGCAAUGGGGGAAACCCUGACGCAGCAACGCCGCGUGAGUGAAGAAGGCUUUCGGGUCGUAAAGCUCUGUCAAGUGGGAAAAAAGUCUGAUGAUUAAUAGUUGUCAGAUCUGAUGGUACCACUGGAGGAAGAACCGGCUAACUCCGUGCCAGCAGCCGCGGUAAUACGGAGGGUUCAAGCGUUGUUCGGAAUUACUGGGCGUAAAGGGCGUGCAGGCGGGUUGGUAAGUCAGAUGUGAAAGCCCUGGGCUCAACCCAGGAAGUGCAUUUGAAACUGCCAUCCUUGAGUAUGGGAGGGGAGAGUGGAAUUCCCAAUGUAGAGGUGAAAUUCGUAGAUAUUGGGAGGAACACCCGUGGCGAAGGCGACUCUCUGGACCAAUACUGACGCUGAGACGCGAAAGCGUGGGGAGCAAACAGGAUUAGAUACCCUGGUAGUCCACGCUGUAAACGAUGAGAACUAGGUGUAGCGGGUAUUG
This 815-nucleotide ribosomal RNA is filed under the name uncultured delta proteobacterium. RNAcentral describes it as "bacterial SSU rRNA". It matches the Rfam family "Bacterial small subunit ribosomal RNA", at positions 56 to 834 of the family's 1533-position model. Lineage: Bacteria; Deltaproteobacteria. The record is from RNAcentral.